CCUAGGGGGCAGCAGUGGGGAAUAUUGGACAAUGGGCGAAAGCCUGAUCCAGCCAUGCCGCGUGUGUGAAGAAGGCCUUCGGGUUGUAAAGCACUUUCAGUGGGGAAGAAAGCCUUGGGGCUAAUACCCUCGAGGAAGGACAUCACCCACAGAAGAAGCACCGGCUAACUCCGUGCCAGCAGCCGCGGUAAUACGGAGGGUGCGAGCGUUAAUCGGAAUUACUGGGCGUAAAGCGCGCGUAGGCGGUCUGAUAAGCCGGUUGUGAAAGCCCCGGGCUCAACCUGGGAACGGCAUCCGGAACUGUCAGGCUAGAGUGCAGGAGAGGAAGGUAGAAUUCCCGGUGUAGCGGUGAAAUGCGUAGAGAUCGGGAGGAAUACCAGUGGCGAAGGCGGCCUUCUGGACUGACACUGACGCUGAGGUGCGAAAGCGUGGGUAGCAAACAGGAUUAGAUACCCUGGUAGUC
This 463-nucleotide ribosomal RNA is filed under the name Vreelandella stevensii. RNAcentral describes it as "partial 16S ribosomal RNA". It matches the Rfam family "Bacterial small subunit ribosomal RNA", at positions 338 to 795 of the family's 1533-position model. The record is from RNAcentral. Lineage: Bacteria; Pseudomonadati; Pseudomonadota; Gammaproteobacteria; Oceanospirillales; Halomonadaceae.